GAUGAACGCUGGCGGCGUGCCUAAUACAUGCAAGUCGAGCGAACGGACGAGAAGCUUGCUUCUCUGAUGUUAGCGGCGGACGGGUGAGUAACACGUGGAUAACCUACCUAUAAGACUGGGAUAACUUCGGGAAACCGGAGCUAAUACCGGAUAAUAUUUUGAACCGCAUGGUUCAAAAGUGAAAGACGGUCUUGCUUUCACUUAUAGAUGGAUCCGCGCUGCAUUAGCUAGUUGGUAAGGUAACGGCUUACCAAGGCAACGAUGCAUAGCCGACCUGAGAGGGUGAUCGGCCACACUGGAACUGAGACACGGUCCAGACUCCUACGGGAGGCAGCAGUAGGGAAUCUUCCGGAAUGGGCGAAAGCCUGACGGAGCAACGCCGCGUGAGUGAUGAAGGUCUUCGGAUCGUAAAACUCUGUUAUUAGGGAAGAACAUAUGUGUAAGUAACUGGGCACAUCUUGACGGUACCUAAUCAGAAAGCCACGGCUAACUACGUG
RNAcentral lists this ribosomal RNA (497 nucleotides) under uncultured bacterium. Its description in RNAcentral is "partial 16S ribosomal RNA". It matches the Rfam family "Bacterial small subunit ribosomal RNA", at positions 28 to 507 of the family's 1533-position model. The record is from RNAcentral.